GACGAACGCUGGCGGCGUGCUUAACACAUGCAAGUCGAACGGGGCGAAGUGAUAGCUUGCUAUUAUGGAGCCUAGUGGCAAACGGGUGAGUAACGCGUAGGCAACCUGCCCUUCAGAUGGGGACAACACCUCGAAAGGGGUGCUAAUACCGAAUGACGUUUCCUAGUCGCAUGACCUGGAAACCAAAGGCCGGGCAACCGGUCACUGAAGGAUGGGCCUGCGUCUGAUUAGCUAGUUGGUGGGGUAACGGCCCGACCAAGGCGACGAUCAGUAGCCGGUCUGAGAGGAUGAACGGCCACAUUGGGACUGAGACACGGCCCAAACUCCUACGGGAGGCAGCAGUGGGGAAUCUUCCGCAAUGGGCGCAAGCCUGACGGAGCAACGCCGCGUGAGUGAAGAAGGUUUUCGGAUCGUAAAGCUCUGUUGAGAGGGACGAGAGAUAUAAUCAGGAAAUGGGUUAUAGAGGACGGUACCUUUCGAGGAAGCCACGGCUAACUACGUGCCAG
RNAcentral lists this ribosomal RNA (506 nucleotides) under uncultured bacterium. RNAcentral describes it as "bacterial SSU rRNA". It matches the Rfam family "Bacterial small subunit ribosomal RNA", at positions 28 to 511 of the family's 1533-position model. The record is from RNAcentral.